RNAcentral lists this long non-coding RNA (757 nucleotides) under Coturnix japonica (Japanese quail). RNAcentral describes it as "lncRNA (ENSCJPG00005017254.1)". The record is from RNAcentral. Lineage: Eukaryota; Metazoa; Chordata; Aves; Galliformes; Phasianidae.
AUGCAGAGGAGACCCCGGGGUUUCCCUAGUAACAGGUGGGAGCUGACGGCGCCGGGGCUUCCCCAGCGGCUCUCCCCGCACGCCGGCGGCGGGGCCGGGGCUGCCCAGCCUGGCAAGGUCGGGGCACGCAGCCUCCUCCCCCCUACGGGGCACGCUAGGCGAGGAGCUGCCCCCGGCCCGCAGCGGGAAGAUUUGUGCCUGAAGAUUGAAAAGCUGCGUCCUUUGCACUGUGCAGACUGUUACAGCAGGAAAGACUAUGGAAUGCCUUUCAGGAUGUGGGAUAACUAUGUGGAUGUGGACUCUGCUAUGAAGACAGAAGUAUUUUACUACAAGGAAAUGAUAUUCUGAGGAGGAAUGUAAACUUGUCUGGAAUUUGAGUAGAUUAUGCCAAUAUCUGCGUAUUGCCCUCUUGCUUCCCUUCAUGUUUCACCAGUCAUACUGUAGCUGUUCAAAAUGCUGUCUGUAAGUAAUAUUGUUAUCUGUAGCCAAAGGUUGGAAAAAAAAAAUAUAAAAAAAAAAUCAUUUUGGAAUUUUAUUGUUUGCUCACCAGGAAAGCAACAUGAAGACAGAAAAGAAAGUUUUACCAGAUCAUGUAAAGAAAUGGAAUUCUGAUUAUUUUCCCUACUAAAUAUGAUAAAAGAUAGAAAUUUCUGCAUAUUAUCUGAACAUCAACACCUGCAAUACUUUGAAUCCUACAGUCUUAAAAUAUUAAAAAGGAAUCACAAUAUAGAAUAUAACUUUGAUGAUUAUACAUAGA